Molecule: ribosomal RNA, 1050 nt
Filed under: uncultured archaeon
Lineage: Archaea
Description: bacterial SSU rRNA
Rfam family: Archaeal small subunit ribosomal RNA
Source: RNAcentral
GCUCAGUAACACGUGGAUAAUCUGCCCUAUGGUGGAGGAUAACCCCGGGAAACUGGGGAUAAUACUCCAUAAGUCAGGAGUACUGGAAUGUCUCCUAACUGAAAGUUUCGGCGCCAUAGGAUGAAUCUGCGGCCGAUUAGGUAGUUGUUGGGGUAACGGCCCAACAAGCCCGUAAUCGGUACGGGUUGUGGGAGCAAGAGCCCGGAGAUGGAAUCUGAGACACGAUUCCAGGCCCUACGGGGCGCAGCAGGCGCGAAAACUUUACAAUGCAGGAAACUGUGAUAAGGGAACCCCGAGUGCCCGUACACGCGGGCUGUCCCGGUGUUUAAAACACAUCGGAAGAAAGGGCCGGGCAAGACCGGUGCCAGCCGCCGCGGUAAUACCGGCGGCUCGAGUGGUGACCACUUUUAUUGGGCUUAAAGCGUUCGUAGCUUGAUUUUUAAGUCUCUUGGGAAAUCUCACGGCUUAACUGUGAGGCGUCUAAGAGAUACUGGGAAUCUAGGGACCGGGAGAGGUAAGAGGUACUUCAGGGGUAGAAGUGAAAUUCUGUAAUCCUUGAGGGACCACCGAUGGCGAAGGCAUCUUACCAGAACGGCUUCGACAGUGAGGAACGAAAGCUGGGGGAGCGAACGGGAUUAGAUACCCCGGUAGUCCCAGCCGUAAACUAUGCGCGUUAGGUGUGCCUGUAACUACGAGUUACCGGGGUGCCGAAGUGAAAACGUGAAACGUGCCGCCUGGGAAGUACGGUCGCAAGGCUGAAACUUAAAGGAAUUGGCGGGGGAGCACCACAACGGGUGGAGCCUGCGGUUUAAUUGGACUCAACGCCGGGCAGCUCACCGGAUAGGACAGCGGAAUGAUAGCCGGGCUGAAGACCUUGCUUGACCAGCUGAGAGGAGGUGCAUGGCCGUCGUCAGUUCGUACUGUGAAGCAUCCUGUUUAGUCAGGCAACGAGCGAGACCCACGCCAACAGUUGCUAGCAUGUUCUCCGGAAUGAUGAGGACACUGUUGGGACCGCCUCUGCUAAAGAGGAGGAAAGAGUGGACGACGGUA